UAAAAUCAUAUCAAAUCCUAAAAAGUCUAAUAGUAUUAAGUCUACAAAUAAUUAUAUUUCUGAAGCUUUUAUCUUGCAAUUUUUAUAUGCACAGUGAGCUUUUAGUAAUCCCCUAGCAGGAGUCUUUACCAUUAAUAUUUCCUCUAAAGGUUUUGACCUAAUAUCUAGUUUACAAGUAAGUGCACAGGAGAUAAAAGAAUGAGUAGUACCUGUAUUGAUUAAAGCCUUGGCAGAAGCAUCAUGAAUAGAAAGCAUACCUUGGAUAAUGACAGGAGUAGGGAGAGCACAGGGUUCAUCUAGGUGAUAUACACGACCCUUGACCACAAGCCUUGUCAUGUCCUUCGAUCACUGAGGGCAGUCCUUUAUAAAGUGUUGGGUGCUUCCGCACCGAUAGUAGGCGUACUUGAUACGCCGAUAGGGUAGGUUACCAUGCGAGCGACCACAAUGCUGACAUGGCUAGGAAGGUCAGGAAGGCUAUCCAGUAGGAAGUAGGACAGGGGAAGGGCAACUAGGGUUUGUUUAUUGAGGUGGCUACUUACUGGGUCAAGUAAUCUCCUUCUAGGUUAUUGGUUAUGAAAUCGAGCAAUGCAUUGGUGCCUGACCGAGAUGAGGUCUUUGGCUAACUAGGCAUGUUCUAGUGCCUCUACGUACGAGCUAGGUCUCAGAAUCGUAACUCGAUCAUAAAUGUUGGCAUGAAGACCUUUCAGAAACUUCUUAACUUUACGACUUUUGAGGGUGACCAUUAAAGGGAAAAUCUAGACAAUUGGACAAAUCAGGCUGCAUACUAAGCAACUGUCAGACUCCCUUGGCAGAGGUCUUGAAAUUCCUUCUCCUUCUUUUCUUGGACAUAGGCUAGAAAAAUGUUAUCAAAGAAUGCAUCCAUGAAAACUUCCUAGGUGGUAGGGGUAGGCAGGACUUCUUUCUUAAGUUGCCAUCAGUGUUCUACUUCACCAUUUAGCAUAAAGGUUGUUAGGGGGACUUUCUAUUCCUCAGUUAGGUAUAGGAUAGAGAACAGUUUCUCUAUCUCCAGGAUCCAGGCUUCGGCUACCAAGGGGUCUGGGCCACCUUUGAAAUGUAGCGGGUUAAGUUUCCUAAACUCUACUAUGUUAUGAGAGAUGGACCUCUAAGUUGUUCGGUACUCUAGGGCAGGGUGUUGACAUGGGUUUGCUAGAUUUUGUCUUACGGCUGCAGUCAAUCCUUGGAUAGCUCAGAAGAAUUCGGUAAACUUAGCCUUGUUGGAUGGUCCUGGGCCUCACGUCUUUCGGUACUUUCUAUGGAAGGUCUUCUAUGCAUCAUUCCUAUAAAAGAAAGAAAGACACAAGUUGGUGGUCUAAUUUGGAAAAGGUGACUCAUUUUCCUAGAUAUCCUAAGGGUCUUUCUACCUAUGGCCUCAAUUGUAAGGGAUUUGGUCCAUGUAACUGCUCUGAUACCAUCUGUGACAUCCCAAAUAUUAAUUAAGAUAUGUGGGUGUCAGAUAGAGAAAUAAAUUACGAGUGCAUGAUAAAAAUUAUAUGCAGUGGAGCAAAUUAAUACAAAUUCCUUAUAAAAUAUGAGUUCCAAAUACACAUAUAACUAAGGACAAAAGUGGCUACAAAAUAUAAAUAUCAAAAUAGAAAAAAAAAGAGCCACUUCUAUCAUUAUGCUAUUGGACUCGUCAGAGUGCGGAAGUAAUCAUGCACUUAAGGUUUGCGGAUCCACAAGAUCCUCAUAGCCUUCAAUAGGUAGGUCAGCUAACGAUCCCUCACUAUCUUCCUCAUUUAGGAGGACAUGGAAAGAAUGAGUUUCAUAUGCUUAGUAAGAAAAAUAGUAUUUAAAUAAUAUCGUAAGGCUUAAAAGGUGAAUAAUUAUAUCGUAAACACUUAUCAUUAGGUCACGUCAGAGUCCUAUCCUACCUUAUGAAAAUAAUUUAUUUAUUAAAGAAAUAUCAUGUCAUAGUCACAACAAUAAAAAACAAACAGCAUAUUUGACAAUAGAGAAAAUCAAAUAAAUUAUGAAUGCUCAUAUUUUUGUGUCAUGUUUCGCAAAAUCGUUCUGACUUCCAUCUCUGAUGCAGAUACAAAUUUCUAACUACCCAUGUGGAAUGACCAGAUACAGAUAUAGAUAAAGACAAUUUGCUCAGGGACAU
This 2125-nucleotide long non-coding RNA is filed under the name Carica papaya (papaya). RNAcentral's name for it is "long non-coding RNA (CPAP_LNC006630)". The record is from RNAcentral. Lineage: Eukaryota; Viridiplantae; Streptophyta; Magnoliopsida; Brassicales; Caricaceae.